This 355-nucleotide long non-coding RNA is filed under the name Vigna radiata. Its description in RNAcentral is "long non-coding RNA (VRAD_LNC001695)". The record is from RNAcentral. Lineage: Eukaryota; Viridiplantae; Streptophyta; Magnoliopsida; Fabales; Fabaceae.
UUUUCACUUUUCCAUGCAAUUUGGGGCUGGGGAUCAUGUAACAGCUUUGCUGCAUGUGAUUCAUCUGGUUCUUCUUCCAAAAAUUUCUAGUUUCUUUUAGAUCCUAAGAACCCUUUCUAUCUACAAUUGUCUACCCAUAAGUAAUUCUUGCUUUUCUUUAAGGAUCAAGAGAAAGGGGGAAAAUUCUUCUGGACCGUGCUACCAAUUGAAGGUAAGGGGAGCUAGAUACUAUUUUUCAUUGUUUGUAUGAACUGUGCAUGUAUUGAAAUCUUUAUUAUUUUCUAGUUUGAUGAAUAAUUAUGUUUUGGUGUGAAAGUAUGUUGUAGGUAAUUGAAUGAGAAAUUGCGAAACUAUG